AAUACCCUAUUAUUUUAAAAGUAAUUAAUGAGACCUAAUUAGUAAUAGUUAAGUUCUUGAAAAUUAAAGAAUUUGGCGGUAUUUUAGUCUAUUCAGAGGAAUCUGUCCUAUAAUUGAUAAUCCACGAUUUUUUAUAUCUAUAUUAUUAAUUUAUAUAUCGUCGUAGUUUGAAUAUUUUUUAAAAAUUAUAAUAUUCAUAAUUUAUUUUAAUAAAAAAAAUCAGAUCAAGGUGUAGUUUAUAUGUAGAAAGAGAUGGAUUACAAUAAAAGUAUUUAUACGAAUUAAUUAGUUAAAUUUAUUUAUGAAGGUGGAUUUGAUAGUAAUUUUAUUUA
RNAcentral lists this ribosomal RNA (332 nucleotides) under Laparocerus curvipes curvipes. RNAcentral's name for it is "partial 12S ribosomal RNA". The record is from RNAcentral. Lineage: Eukaryota; Metazoa; Arthropoda; Insecta; Coleoptera; Curculionidae.